This 482-nucleotide ribosomal RNA is filed under the name uncultured bacterium. RNAcentral describes it as "partial 16S ribosomal RNA". It matches the Rfam family "Bacterial small subunit ribosomal RNA", at positions 30 to 507 of the family's 1533-position model. The record is from RNAcentral.
AUUGAACGCUGGCGGCAUGCCUUACACAUGCAAGUCGAACGGUAACAGGUCUUCGGAUGCUGACGAGUGGCGAACGGGUGAGUAAUACAUCGGAACGUGCCCGAUCGUGGGGGAUAACGAGGCGAAAGCUUUGCUAAUACCGCAUACGAUCUACGGAUGAAAGCGGGGGAUCUUCGGACCUCGCGCGGACGGAGCGGCCGAUGGCAGAUUAGGUAGUUGGUGGGAUAAAAGCUUACCAAGCCGACGAUCUGUAGCUGGUCUGAGAGGAUGAUCAGCCACACUGGGACUGAGACACGGCCCAGACUCCUACGGGAGGCAGCAGUGGGGAAUUUUGGACAAUGGGCGAAAGCCUGAUCCAGCCAUGCCGCGUGCAGGAUGAAGGCCCUUGGGUUGUAAACUGCUUUUGUACGGAACGAAAAGCCUCUUUCUAAUAAAGAGGGGUCAUGACGGUACCGUAAGAAUAAGCACCGGCUAACUACGUG